AAGCAGCUAGUCUAAAACAAGACCAUUAACUUCGGCUUAAUAAAUCUCAAUACAUCUGAGGCUGCUCA
RNAcentral lists this transfer RNA (68 nucleotides) under Geckolepis petiti. RNAcentral describes it as "tRNA-Arg". Lineage: Eukaryota; Metazoa; Chordata; Lepidosauria; Squamata; Gekkonidae. The record is from RNAcentral.